RNAcentral lists this ribosomal RNA (768 nucleotides) under Halomonas sp. Loihi-Chm(16S)-5. RNAcentral's name for it is "bacterial SSU rRNA". It matches the Rfam family "Bacterial small subunit ribosomal RNA", at positions 8 to 774 of the family's 1533-position model. The record is from RNAcentral. Lineage: Bacteria; Pseudomonadati; Pseudomonadota; Gammaproteobacteria; Oceanospirillales; Halomonadaceae.
AGAGUUUGAUCCUGGCUCAGAUUGAACGCUGGCGGCAGGCCUAACACAUGCAAGUCGAGCGGUAACAGAUCCAGCUUGCUGGAUGCUGACGAGCGGCGGACGGGUGAGUAAUGCAUACGAAUCUGCCCGAUAGUGGGGGAUAACCUGGGGAUACCCAGGCUAAUACCGCAUACGUCCUACGGGAUAAAGGGGGCUCCGGCUCCCGCUAUGGGAUAAGCCUAUGUCGGAUUAGCUAGUUGGUGAGGUAACGGCUCACCAAGGCCACGAUCCGUAUCUGGUCUGAGAAGAUGAUCAGCCACAUCGGGACUGAAACACAGCCCGAACUCCUACGGGAGGCAGCAGUGGGGAAUAUUGGACUAUGAGGGCAACCUGAUCCACCAUGCCGCGUGUGUUGAAGAAGGCCCUCGGGUUGUAAAGCACUUUCAGCGAGGAAGAACGCCUAGCGGUUAAUACCCGCUAGGAAAGACAUCACUCGCAGAAGAAGCACCGGCUAACUCCGUGCCAGCAGCCGCGGUAAUACGGAGGGUGCAAGCGUUAGUCGGAAUUACUGGGCGUAAAGCGCGCGUAUGUGGCUUGAUAAGCCGGUUGUGAAAGCCCCGGGCUCAACCUGGGAACGGCAUCCGGAACUGUCAAGCUAGAGUGCAAGAGAGGAAGGUAGAAUUCCCGGUGUACCGGUGAAAUGCGUAAAGAUCGGGAAGAAUACCAGUGGCGAAUGCGGCCUUCUGGACUGACACUGACACUGAAGUGCGAAAGCGUUGGUUACCGACA